AUACAUACAAGGAGAGAUUGAGAUACAAAUUUGUUAGAUUACGCCAUCUUUAUGGGAUGAACUCUUCCUCCAUUUCUCCACUAUAAACUCUCUCUUCUCAAUUUCAUAUUUAAUUUCAGAUAUCACACAUCUAUUUAAUUAACUAACCCUAACUAGUAAAAAAGAUCCAAAAUCUUGGGCUUCUCUUCAUCACCGCCGAUGUCAUUUCCGAUUGAAUUUGGGGAGUACUCUAUCAUAAUCGGAGCAUUUUGAUUGUUAGCAAUUGGUCGAAGGACGGGUUGGGCUUGUGGUUUGUGCACAACACGGAGAGGAAGUAUCUUUCCACCCUUGAGAAUCAUGCCUGCCGCUGAACCAAACACUGUCCAUUUUUCGUUGCAAAACAAUCCGAACAGGUUUAAUUGUAUCGCCAACCGGUCCAACAAGGAAAGAUCAGAAUACAACUAAAAAAAGGUUCAGAUCAAAUCAUGAAUUAAUUAUGAGAAUUAAUUACGUGUGAUUAAUAAAUAAAAUUAAGAUAGUUGUGUUACCAGAUCGUUUAAUGCAGCGGAGAGAGGACAGGUAUAUUAGGAGGAAGGUCAUCCCGAAGAAAUUCGAGAUGAAGAGAAGAGCAUUCGCUUGUGCCUGGGAAUUAUCGAUCCAACUAACGAAAUUAGAAUUAUGCAACUGGAUUCAAGUUUCAUAUUGAAUCAGAAUUGCUUAAUUAGAGCUCAUAUUUGCAAUUAAUGAGUAAAAAGUCUAAGAAUUUGAUAUUACCAAGCAUUCAUGGUCUAUUAAAAAAGUUGAGACGAAGACAUUACUAUAUCAUGGAGCAGGAAUCAACCAUAUAAUUAACAUUUAAGUGUGUUGUAUUGAAUAAACAAAUAGCUUUCUUGAAAUAAAUAUAUAACUAUUCUUGUCAUUAAACAUAUAUAUAUAUAUAUAUAUAUAUAUAUAUAUUUGAAAAAUAUAGAAAGUAACUACUUACCCGAAAAUAAAACAUUGAUAUGCCAUCAGCAGCCCUCUUGUUGUGAUGUUUGUAGAAUUAAUCGCAAAUACUAGCCAAUAUAGGAAACUGCAUAGCCAAGUACACAAAAACAA
Molecule: long non-coding RNA, 1077 nt
Filed under: Panax ginseng (ginseng)
Lineage: Eukaryota; Viridiplantae; Streptophyta; Magnoliopsida; Apiales; Araliaceae
Description: long non-coding RNA (PGIN_LNC011545)
Source: RNAcentral